RNAcentral lists this ribosomal RNA (253 nucleotides) under uncultured bacterium. Its description in RNAcentral is "partial 16S ribosomal RNA". It matches the Rfam family "Bacterial small subunit ribosomal RNA", at positions 524 to 776 of the family's 1533-position model. The record is from RNAcentral.
GACGAACUGUCCUAACGUUGUUCGGAAUCACUGGGCUUAAAGGGCGCGUAGGCGGUCCGUCAAGUCAGGGGUGAAAUCCUGCAGCUUAACUGUAGAAGUGCCUCUGAUACUGACGGUCUUGAGGGAGAUAGGGGUGUGCGGAACUUCCAGUGGAGCGGUGAAAUGCGUUGAUAUUGGAAGGAACGCCGGAGGCGAAAGCGGCGCACUGGAUCUCUUCUGACGCUGAGGCGCGAAAGCUAGGGGAGCAAACGGG